This 318-nucleotide ribosomal RNA is filed under the name Enterococcus mundtii. Its description in RNAcentral is "bacterial SSU rRNA". It matches the Rfam family "Bacterial small subunit ribosomal RNA", at positions 158 to 469 of the family's 1533-position model. Lineage: Bacteria; Bacillati; Bacillota; Bacilli; Lactobacillales; Enterococcaceae. The record is from RNAcentral.
AGGUGCUAAUACCGUAUAACAAUCGAAACCGCAUGGUUUCGUUUUGAAAGGCGCUUUACGGUGCCGCUGAUGGAUGGACCCGCGGUGCAUUAGCUAGUUGGUGAGGUAACGGCUCACCAAGGCCACGAUGCAUAGCCGACCUGAGAGGGUGAUCGGCCACAUUGGGACUGAGACACGGCCCAAACUCCUACGGGAGGCAGCAGUAGGGAAUCUUCGGCAAUGGACGAAAGUCUGACCGAGCAACGCCGCGUGAGUGAAGAAGGUUUUCGGAUCGUAAAACUCUGUUGUUAGAGAAGAACAAGGGUGAGAGUAACUGUU